RNAcentral lists this ribosomal RNA (253 nucleotides) under uncultured prokaryote. RNAcentral describes it as "partial 16S ribosomal RNA". It matches the Rfam family "Archaeal small subunit ribosomal RNA", at positions 472 to 725 of the family's 1478-position model. The record is from RNAcentral.
AAUACCAGCACCCCGAGUUGUCGGGACGAUUAUUGGGCCUAAAGCAUCCGUAGCCUGUUCUGCAAGUCCUCCGUUAAAUCCACCUGCUCAACGGAUGGGCUGCGGAAGAUACUACAGAGCUAGGAGGCGGGAGAGGCAAGCGGUACUCGAUGGGUAGGGGUAAAAUCCGUUGAUCCAUUGAAGACCACCAGUGGCGAAGGCGGCUUGCCAGAACGCGCUCGACGGUGAGGGAUGAAAGCUGGGGGAGCAAACC